AUUUACCGGAACAUUCCAGGAUUUUUACGUACACUUAUGGAUGCCCUGAGAAAAGACAAAAUAAUCUUUCCUAAUGAUGAAAAUGUUAAAUUCCUUUCUUCUCCUCUUCUCAUCUUACAUGGAGAGGAUGACAGGACAGUGCCUUUGGAGUAUGGGAAAAAGGUCUAUGAAAUUGCAUGCAAUGCAUACAGGAACAAAGAGAGGGUCAAGAUGGUUAUCUUUCCUCCUGGCUUCCAACAUAACCUGCUUUGUAAAAGCCCCACACUGUUAAUAACCGUGAGAGAUUUCCUGAGCAAGCAAUGGUCAUGAGUCUGGGAGGAGUGGAAAUCUUCAAUGAAGACUUGGUCCAAACACCACCUGUGAUGUGUAUUGUUUUAAUGUAAAAUUGUACUGGGCUGGUCGGAUGAGCUGAAGCCAUUGACUUCUCUACAAAUCACUUGCCAUUUUAACAACAGAAAGUACGAAUGUUAGGCAGUAUGGAAUGUUCUUGUUUGGCUUAUCAUAAUCUACUUUG
Molecule: small RNA, 514 nt
Filed under: Pongo abelii (Sumatran orangutan)
Lineage: Eukaryota; Metazoa; Chordata; Mammalia; Primates; Hominidae
Description: processed transcript
Source: RNAcentral